This 1417-nucleotide ribosomal RNA is filed under the name Staphylococcus aureus. Its description in RNAcentral is "bacterial SSU rRNA". It matches the Rfam family "Bacterial small subunit ribosomal RNA". The record is from RNAcentral. Lineage: Bacteria; Bacillati; Bacillota; Bacilli; Caryophanales; Staphylococcaceae.
GGACGAGAAGCUUGCUUCUCUGAUGUUAGCGGCGGACGGGUGAGUAACACGUGGAUAACCUACCUAUAAGACUGGGAUAACUUCGGGAAACCGGAGCUAAUACCGGAUAAUAUUUUGAACCGCAUGGUUCAAAAGUGAAAGACGGUCUUGCUGUCACUUAUAGAUGGAUCCGCGCUGCAUUAGCUAGUUGGUAAGGUAACGGCUUACCAAGGCAACGAUGCAUAGCCGACCUGAGAGGGUGAUCGGCCACACUGGAACUGAGACACGGUCCAGACUCCUACGGGAGGCAGCAGUAGGGAAUCUUCCGCAAUGGGCGAAAGCCUGACGGAGCAACGCCGCGUGAGUGAUGAAGGUCUUCGGAUCGUAAAACUCUGUUAUUAGGGAAGAACAUAUGUGUAAGUAACUGUGCACAUCUUGACGGUACCUAAUCAGAAAGCCACGGCUAACUACGUGCCAGCAGCCGCGGUAAUACGUAGGUGGCAAGCGUUAUCCGGAAUUAUUGGGCGUAAAGCGCGCGUAGGCGGUUUUUUAAGUCUGAUGUGAAAGCCCACGGCUCAACCGUGGAGGGUCAUUGGAAACUGGAAAACUUGAGUGCAGAAGAGGAAAGUGGAAUUCCAUGUGUAGCGGUGAAAUGCGCAGAGAUAUGGAGGAACACCAGUGGCGAAGGCGACUUUCUGGUCUGUAACUGACGCUGAUGUGCGAAAGCGUGGGGAUCAAACAGGAUUAGAUACCCUGGUAGUCCACGCCGUAAACGAUGAGUGCUAAGUGUUAGGGGGUUUCCGCCCCUUAGUGCUGCAGCUAACGCAUUAAGCACUCCGCCUGGGGAGUACGACCGCAAGGUUGAAACUCAAAGGAAUUGACGGGGACCCGCACAAGCGUGGAGCAUGUGGUUUAAUUCGAAGCAACGCGAAGAACCUUACCAAAUCUUGACAUCCUUUGACAACUCUAGAGAUAGAGCCUUCUUCGGGGGACAAAGUGACAGGUGGUGCAUGGUUGUCGUCAGCUCGUGUCGUGAGAUGUUGGGUUAAGUCCCGCAACGAGCGCAACCCUUAAGCUUAGUUGCCAUCAUUAAGUUGGGCACUCUAAGUUGACUGCCGGUGACAAACCGGAGGAAGGUGGGGAUGACGUCAAAUCAUCAUGCCCCUUAUGAUUUGGGCUACACACGUGCUACAAUGGACAAUACAAAGGGCAGCGAAACCGCGAGGUCAAGCAAAUCCCAUAAAGUUGUUCUCAGUUCGGAUUGUAGUCUGCAACUCGACUACAUGAAGCUGGAAUCGCUAGUAAUCGUAGAUCAGCAUGCUACGGUGAAUACGUUCCCGGGUCUUGUACACACCGCCCGUCACACCACGAAGAGUUUGUAACACCCGAAGCCGGUGGAGUAACCUUUUAGGAGCUAGCCGUCGAAGGUGGGACAAAU